Molecule: unclassified non-coding RNA, 256 nt
Filed under: Dothideomycetes sp.
Lineage: Eukaryota; Fungi; Ascomycota; Dothideomycetes
Description: partial contains 5.8S ribosomal RNA, internal transcribed spacer 2, and large subunit ribosomal RNA
Source: RNAcentral
CGCACAUUGCGCCCUUUGGCAUUCCGAGGGGCAUGCCCGUUCGAGCGUCAUUAAAUCCAAUCAAGCCUGGCUUGGUGUUGGGCGUCGGGGUUCCCCGCGCCUCAAUUUCACCGGCUGGCCGUCGCCCGUCGUAGCGUUGUGACACACCUCUCGCUACCGAUGGGGCCGGACCACGCCGUUAGAAUCUCGCAAAUUUCAAUCGAAAUUUGAUUCAAAGGUUGACCUCGGAUCGGGUAGGAAUACCCGCUGAACUUAA